CAGAGCAUGUUUUAAAUGAAAAUAUGGGCCCUCCAGGAAAUUUGUGUUAUCUUGGAGGUACUUUAGAAGAGGAGAAAGAAGCAAAGAUGCAAGUGAGAAGAAAGCAAUGAUUUAUAGGCACUGGAGCAGAACAGGGGAGUCAUGGAAAAAAAGCAAUUAACGAAUAAAGGAAAAAAGUACCAAUAGUGAACAGGAAAAAAAUCUUCUGAAAGCUAAAGAAGAGAGAAUAAUUGAUGGUUCCAUUUUAGCUUAAUGUUAUUUCUGGAUCUCUUUUAUAAUGUGUUAUUUACUGCAUAGUUUAUAGUUGACAGAAAAUAAACAGCAUUUG
Molecule: long non-coding RNA, 328 nt
Organism: Bubalus bubalis (water buffalo)
Lineage: Eukaryota; Metazoa; Chordata; Mammalia; Artiodactyla; Bovidae
Exons: 2
Source: RefSeq, a predicted model, not a curated record